This 228-nucleotide long non-coding RNA is filed under the name Cricetulus griseus (Chinese hamster). Its description in RNAcentral is "lncRNA (ENSCGRG00000025428.1)". Lineage: Eukaryota; Metazoa; Chordata; Mammalia; Rodentia; Cricetidae. The record is from RNAcentral.
GGGAAGCUGUAGCCACGCCUACUUACUGCCUGGCUACUGGUGUGCCUGACCACGCCUUCGAGGGCGUGGUCAGGGUGACUAGAGUAAGAGGCGGUCAGGUGGCUGGGUACUUUCGGUUUUGCUUUCCCUUGCUCUACAGACUGCUUUCGCACCAGCUGGCUACGUUGCUCUGAUUCUUGUAAGUUCCAAGGAGCUGAAUUGGAUCCAAACAAACAGGUCUAAGAGGCG